UUUUGAAACAGAAAGACCCUAUGAAGCUUUACUGUAGCCUGGAAUUGUGUUCGGGCUUCGCUUGCGCAGGAUAGGUGGGAAGGCGAUGAAAUAUUCCCUUGUGGGGAAUAUGGAGCUCAACGGUGAGAUACCACUCUGGCGAAGCUAGAAUUCUAACCCAUGAACCCGUCAUCCGGUCAGGGAACAGUUUCAGGUGGGCAGUUUGACUGGGGCGGUCGCCUCCUAAAAAGUAACGGAGGCGCGCAAAGGUUCUCCUCAGCACGGUUGGAAACCGUGCCGGUCGAGUGUAAAGGCAUAAGAGAGCUUGACUGCGAGAGAUACAACUCAAGCAGGGACGAAAGUCGGCCUUAGUGAUCCGACGGCACAGCAUGGAAUGGCUCGUCGC
Molecule: ribosomal RNA, 385 nt
Filed under: uncultured Nodularia sp.
Lineage: Bacteria; Bacillati; Cyanobacteriota; Cyanophyceae; Nostocales; Nodulariaceae
Description: bacterial LSU rRNA
Rfam family: Bacterial large subunit ribosomal RNA
Source: RNAcentral